ACAAGCAGAGGGGGCUUAGUGGUGGGGUGACUGCGUACCUUUUGUAUAAUGGGUCAGCGACUUAUAUUCUGUAGCAAGGUUAACCGUAUAGGGGAGCCGGAGGGAAACCGAGUCUUAAUUGGGCGUUAAGUUGCAGGGUAUAGACCCGAAACCCGGUGAUCUAGCCAUGGGCAGGUUGAAGGUUGGGUAACACUAACUGGAGGACCGAACCGACUAAUGUUGAAAAAUUAGCGGAUGACCUGUGGCUGGGGGUGAAAGGCCAAUCAAACCGGGAGAUAGCUGGUUCUCCCCGAAAGCUAUUUAGGUAGCGCCUCGUGAAUUCAUCUCCGGGGGUAGAGCACUGUUUCGGCUAGGGGGCCAUCCCGGCUUACCAACCCGAUGCAAACUGCGAAUACCGGAGAAUGUUAUCACGGGAGACACACGGCGGGUGCUAACGUCCGUCGUGAAGAGGGAAACAACCCAGACCGCCAGCUAAGGUCCCAAAGUCAUGGUUAAGUGGGAAACGAUGUGGGAAGGCCCAGACAGCCAGGAUGUUGGCUUAGAAGCAGCCAUCAUUUAAAGAAAGCGUAAUAGCUCACUGGUCGAGUCGGCCUGCGCGGAAGAUGUAACGGGGCUAAACCAUGCACCGAAGCUGCGGCAGCGAACGUAUCACUUAAAGCGAUUCAGCGGGUUACGAUUGACGGAGCGAAGCGACGUCAAAGCGUAUACAAAGUCGAGUCGGUUUAAGGAUACGUUCGUUGGGUAGGGGAGCGUUCUGUAAGCCUGCGAAGGUGGCCUGUGAGGGUUGCUGGAGGUAUCAGAAGUGCGAAUGCUGACAUAAGUAACGAUAAAGCGGGUGAAAAGCCCGCUCGCCGGAAGACCAAGGGUUCCUGUCCAACGUUAAUCGGGGCAGGGUGAGUCGACCCCUAAGGCGAGGCCGAAAGGCGUAGUCGAUGGGAAACGGGUUAAUAUUCCCGUACUUGGUGUUACUGCGAAGGGGGGACGGAGAAGGCUAUGUUGGCCGGGCGACGGUUGUCCCGGUUUAAGCGUGUAGGCUGGUUUUCCAGGCAAAUCCGGAAAAUCAAGGCUGAGGCGUGACGACGAGGCACUACGGUGCUGAAGCAACAAAUGCCCUGCUUCCAGGAAAAGCCUCUAAGCAUCAGGUAACACGAAAUCGUACCCCAAACCGACACAGGUGGUCAGGUAGAGAAUACCAAGGCGCUUGAGAGAACUCGGGUGAAGGAACUAGGCAAAAUGGUGCCGUAACUUCGGGAGAAGGCACGCUGACACGUA
This 1272-nucleotide ribosomal RNA is filed under the name Salmonella enterica. RNAcentral's name for it is "partial 23S ribosomal RNA". It matches the Rfam family "Bacterial large subunit ribosomal RNA", at positions 566 to 1760 of the family's 2925-position model. The record is from RNAcentral. Lineage: Bacteria; Pseudomonadati; Pseudomonadota; Gammaproteobacteria; Enterobacterales; Enterobacteriaceae.